This 2868-nucleotide ribosomal RNA is filed under the name Triticum aestivum (bread wheat). Its description in RNAcentral is "partial small subunit ribosomal RNA". The record is from RNAcentral. Lineage: Eukaryota; Viridiplantae; Streptophyta; Magnoliopsida; Poales; Poaceae.
AUGGAGUUGGUGGUAGGUGCCUCGAAUGCUACCAUGAGGUCUCUCCUGGGCAAGCUGGGCGGUCUUCUUGCCCAGGAGUAUGCUCUGGUCCGUGGAGUCCGCCGUGAUGUUCAGUACAUCAACGAUGAGCUUACAAGCAUGCAGGCCUUCCUCCGUGACCUCAGCACUGCCCUGGAUGACCAUGACAACCGGAUGAAGGACUGGAUGAAGCAGAUCCGUGACAUGGGCUAUGACAUUGAAGAUUGCAUUGAUGACUUUGCCCACCGCAUACCCCGCGAUCCCAGCAGUGAUGUUAAAUGCUUAUUCAUCAGGACAAGAUUCUAUGAACUCCGGAUGUGGUGGCCUCGCCGUGACAUUGCGUCAAAGAUUGCUGACCUGAAGGUGCGAGCGCAACAGAUUGGUGAGCGACGUAGAAGAUAUGGGGUGCACAACCCAAGGAACCGUAAGAAUGGCUCUGGAGUUAGCGCUGGAACAUACGAGGUUGCUGAGCAUCAGCUCACAGAGCGUCAGCUCAUUGGUACAAAGGAGCCUGUGGGGAUGACGGCUGACAUGGAGAAGCUUGAGGAUUGGUUAGCCAAAUCUGAUAAAAGUUGUUAUGAGGAGCGAGCUGUUCUGUCCAUAGUCGGAUUCGGCGGUGUGGGAAAGACCACUAUUGCAAUGGCUUUGUACCAAAAGGUCCGGGAUAAAUUUGAUUAUCGGGCAUCAGUCACCGUGUCUCAAAACUAUGAUGAAGAUGCAGUCCUCAUGAUGAUUCUAAAACAAGUCAAGCCAAAGGAGAGUGAUCACGAGAACCAACACAAGACUGGCAGCUCUGAUGUAAAACAGAUUAAAUUUGAAAUUAGCCACGAUAAACUCGUGAAAGAACUACAAGAUCAUCUGGCUGAAAAAAGGUAUCUCCUCUUGAUUGAUGACAUAUGGUCUGCAAAAACAUGGGAGAGUAUCAGAAAGUGCUUGCCACAUGAAAAUAAAAAAGGCAGCAGAGUAAUAGUGACUACAAGAUUUCAAGCUGUUGGUGCCACAUGCUCCCAAGGAGUGAUUGAUUUUGUUCAUCCAGUCGAAUUUCUGAAUGAAGACGAGUCUAAAAGGUUAUUUAAGCGAAGUGUUUCUGAAUCCAAAAGCAUCAAAUAUAGCGAGAAAGAACUGGACCAAGUCACUGAGGAGAUAUGCAAGAUAUGCAGGGGUCUGCCUUUGGCCAUAGUUACCAUGGCUGGUCUUGUUGCCAGCAACCCGAACACACUCAGCAAAAAAUGGGAAGCAGUGUGCAAAUCAUUAUUUCCAGAGUCGGUGCCUUCUCUCACCUUGGAUGGUGUUACAAGGAUACUCGAGUACUGCUACAAUGAUUUGCCUGCAGAACUCAGGACCUGCUCGUUGUACCUGAGCAUAUUUCCUAAGGGUUCAAAAAUUAGUAGGAAGCGUUUGAUCCGGAGGUUGAUAGCCGAAGGUUUCGUUAGUGAGAAGCAUGGCUUGUCAGACGAGGAAGUUGCAGAAACAUACUUUAAUCAGCUGAUAAAAAGGAAGAUAAUACGGCCGGUUGAACACAGCAGCAAUGGGAAGGUAAAAAGCUUUCAAGUUCAUGAUAUGGUUCUUGAAUAUAUUGUGUCCAAGUCAAGCGAAGAGAAUUUUAUUACUGUGGUUGGUGGCCACUGGCUGAUACCAAUGUCGACCAAUAAAGUACGUCGACUCUCCGUGCAAAGCAGUGGUUCCGAACAUGGAAGUUCAACAAAACACAUGAACCUGUCGCAAGUGCGAUCACUGACCAUGUUCCGGAGCCUGGACCAACUUCAUUUCCACUCUUUCAAUAAUGGGAUUUUACAAGUGCUGGAUCUUGAGGGUUGCAAGGGUUUGAAAGAGAAACAUCUGAAGGACAUGUGUAGAAUGCUUGUGCUGAAGUAUUUGAGCCUUCGGGGAACAGAUAUUUCCAAAAUACCCUCUAAGAUUGAGAAACUCGAAUACUUAGAAACUCUCGACCUAAGGGAGACUGAUGUCGGUGAGCUGCCAAAAUCUGCAGGGCAGCUCAAACGGAUAAUCAACAUAUUUGGUGGGAAUAAAAACCCAAGAAGGGGGUUGAAGUUGCCUCAAGAGAUUAAUAAGGAGACAAUGAAAGCACUUCGUAUACUGUCGGGGAUCGAGAUUGAUGAGCAAUCGACAGGUGUAGAAGGCCUCCAUCAGUUGACAGGGCUUAGGAAGCUUGCCAUUUACAAGCUCAUAAUAUUGAAGGAUAGUAAAAUCUUCAAAGAAUUACGCUCUGCAAUCGAGUAUCUUGGCAGCUGUGGUCUGCAGACUCUGGCGCUCAAUGAUGAGGGAUCUGAUUUUAUCAACUCACUGGACACCAUGUCCGCACCUCCAAGAUACCUCAGCGCCCUUGAGCUCUCUGGCAACUUGGAUAGUCUUCCCAAGUGGAUUAACAAACUCGAUAACCUCCACAAAUUGACCCUCUCUGUAACUGUUCUCCGGAUGGAUACUUUUGAGCUCCUCUGGAAGCUGCCUUCGUUGUUUUCCCUCACCUUUUCGCUGAGUGCAGCGAAGCAGGAUGAGGCCAUAGAAGACAUCCUUGAGAAGAACAAAUCGGAGUCCGGCGGGGAGAUCUUUGUCCCAAGUGGAGGAUUCAAGAGCCUUAAGCUGCUUCGCUUCUUUGCACCUCUAGUGCCAAAGCUGAGCUUUCCAAAAGAUGCAAUGCCAGUACUCGAAAGGAUCGAGAUGCGGUUCGAAGCCUUUGAGGGCCUGUUCGGCAUCGACACCCUGGAUUGUCUUCAGGAGGUGCACCUGAGAGUCAAUAGCGCAGCAGAUGAAAUAACCAACUUCAUUGUAGAAGAUUUGAAGGCCAUCAAGAAGCCAAAGAUAAUCGUGGAUCAUGUCAUCACCAGUUGA